CUGAAUUGGGUGGCCCUGUCCA
RNAcentral lists this non-coding RNA (22 nucleotides) under Arabidopsis thaliana (thale cress). The record is from RNAcentral. Lineage: Eukaryota; Viridiplantae; Streptophyta; Magnoliopsida; Brassicales; Brassicaceae.